ACCGCCCUAUCCCGCCUCACUGACUGUACGUCACGCUGACGCAACGAACAGAGGAUCAGAGAAACUACAAGUCCCAGAAAGCAUUGCGCAGCUAGAAAAAGGGGCGCUCGGUGUUGAGGCAGGGGACAACAAGCCAGAGAUGAAGCUGUACAGUCUGUCGGGGCAUCCCACGCUCCCAUGAAACGUCUUCAAGUUCAAGUCGAGCGCAAUCAUGUUGGACUGCGGCCUGGACAUGACCUCCGCCCCACUUGUGCACAGGAUUUUCAUGGAAGAACUCGUGAAUUCCAUUGAGCGGGUACCCAAGGCUCAGUCUGCCACCUUGUGGAAGCACAAAGAAGUACAAAGGCUGCUGCCCGCACCGCUGAAGGACGCAGUCGAGGUUUUCACCUGGAGGAAAUGCUACAGCAUGCAGGAGGUGAAUGCAGGAGGUGAAUGCAGGAGGUGAAUGCAGGAGGUGAAUGCAGGAGGUGAAUGCAGGAGGUGAAUGCAGGAGGUGAAUGCAGGAGGUGAAUGCAGGAGGUGAAUGCAGCUUUAAGCAAGAUCCAGCUCGUUGGAUACUCCCAAAAUAAAGGGCCACUCAGACUCCAGGGAAGGAGAAUGGCACACAGGAUGCUGUGGUUUAUAGCCACCCGAUAAAUGGAAUGGCACCGAUGCACCAAAACCAGUCCCACACAGAAACAAUGUAAAUCCGGUGCCACAUUUUUAGGCUAUUUAUAAGAGCGGGCACUUAAAGGAAAAGGAAAUCUACAGAGACAGUUUAUUGGCUCCUCUCUCCUCACCACAC
Long non-coding RNA from Xenopus laevis (African clawed frog), 784 nucleotides. RefSeq lists it as uncharacterized. The record is from RefSeq and is a predicted model, not a curated record. NCBI's taxonomy places the organism in Eukaryota, Metazoa, Chordata, Amphibia, Anura, Pipidae. The transcript has 5 exons.